This 3416-nucleotide long non-coding RNA is filed under the name Pelobates cultripes (western spadefoot toad). Lineage: Eukaryota; Metazoa; Chordata; Amphibia; Anura; Pelobatidae. The record is from RNAcentral.
GCCUGAUGUCAUUGUGUGUUAUUUAAAAAAUCACUGAUCAUAAAUAUAGGGCUAAAUGACAGAUGUGCACCUAUUGAUCCUUCCACUUCUCUUAGAUUCUUCAAACAGGAAGUCUCAGAUUGCUGCAGACAGGGGUGACGCUUAUUGGCUGAGAGCAUUAUCUGAUGCUUUAAGCUAACCAGUAGCUCUCCAUUCCUAAAAAUUGCUUGAGAAUAAUACAUAGUUUCAUAAGCCAGUUCGUAAAUGGGGAGCUACACUGACACUCUCAGAAAAUCAGUGGUGACCCUGUACACAGUUGUCUGAGGCUUCCUGUUUGUUCCUCUUCUGUCAUUUUUCUGAGAUUCUUCAAAGCUAAAUAGCACUGGAGAAACGGUUUUGGGAUUAAUGAACAAUUUUACCCCUAAUGUUAAAAUAGCACAAGGGAAGCCGUGGCACCUUAACAACUUCGUUCAGAAAUACAGGUUUACAUUAAACGUUUACAUUGCUGAGUUGAAGUUUUUUGUUUUCAGUUAAAUAAACUCUACAGAUAAUUAAACUUUCUUUCUGGAAGCUAUAUUUUGGUCCUUUUAUCACUCAUUAAAUUAUAUGAUCAUAGUUCUACCUCCAGAGAAUUGGUGAGAAAUCCUUUUCAUUUGAGUUCACAGUUACCUUUUGAUCAUUCUGUUAUUUGAAAUAUGUAUUACUUACUCCCUUGUUUCUCUGUAUUAACUAGUUGCAAGAUAUAAUUUAUGGACUCCAGAAUUAAUUAUCUGCAUCAAUGCUUAAAAGGGAUACUAUAGGUACCCAGACCCGUUCAUGUCAUUUAAAUGGUCUGACUGCACUGUCCCUGCCACCUUAACCCCACAGCUGAAAACAUUGCAGUUUUAGAGAAACUGCCAUGUUUUUAUUGCAUUGUUAAGACUGCCUCCAGUGGCUGUCUACCAGACCGUCCCUAUAGGUACUUCCUGCUGUUUCACUGAGUUUAACUUCCUGAUACAACUCUGGACAUCAUCACUCUUUGCGUCUUCUAAAUCCCCAAUAGAAAGCAUUGAUUCAAUACCUAUAGAUUGUUAGCACUGAGUUUUCAAUAAGUAAUUCACAGCAGACUAUUAUACCUGAAUAACAUUUUCAAAUAUUGCCUUGUUCCUUAUUUGUGCUCUGUUUUGGAUUUUAAAAGCUUCCAGGAAGUAUCAUAGGCACAUCAGUCUUGAUGCAAUUGAAAGUCAUGUCUCCUUUUUCACAGGACUGUCUUUAACAGAAGCAUAUCAUAUAAUUUUGUGAAAAAUUAUACUUGUCUCUCUCUUUAUACACUAGCUUUAUUGUUUAUCAUAGUGAUAAAUGGUCUGUUUAAUUGGAUUACGUUGUAAUUGCCUACUUACUUCUUUACCACUGAUGGUGCAGCUAUUGUGUUGGGUUUGUAGUUGUUAUAUUAAUCUAAUAGACAUUCCCUUCUCCCACCCCAUGCUACCCAAUCUUCCCUGAUUUGGAACACUUCACCAAACAGGCUGCAACUUUCCCAUGAGGCUGACAUGCUUGCUUCAUUAGCAGUGGAUUGGUGUCUGUCACUCUUACUCUAUUCCUCUUGAAAUGUACGAGACACACUUGCUAAAACAAAUACUGACAGCAACUACAGCACAGUGCAAUAGUUGCUGUGAAGAAGAAUAAGGGAACCAUCUAUAUGAAGGGACUCCUAUUUUCUCCUGUCCAGGGGUGCCAUCAGAAGUCUUAGGGCACCUUUAAAAAAUAUUGCUCGGGCCCCCUUCACACAAACUGUCCUACACACACAUUGCCAGACACAAAUAUACAAUGUCAUGCACAUGCAUGGUUAGAUAGACAGGUACACAAUGUUAGAAACACACCUAUACUCAUAGUCAUAUAUACAUGCCACACACAGCAUCAAACAGACACACAUUUCGACAUGUGUACACAGUCAAACACACACUCAUACAAUGUUAGAUACACAGGCAUAGCCAGAGACUCAUGCACACUUUGUCAAACAAACAGUCAGACAUACACACUCACACACAUAGUUACACACACACGGUCAAACACUCACAUGCAGAUAUACAAACUUACACACACACUGUCAAACAGACACACAUAUAUAUAUAUAUAUACAUAUAUAUAUAUAAAAAUCCAAAUAACCCCUGCACUCCAACUGUAAUAAAACUUAAAUACCUGGUGCUCUGGUGGCUGAAUGAUAUAUAAUAAAGUUAUACCGGCACAAUUUUAGCUUGAAACACUGCACAACGAGAAACACUAGCACACGUGUGCCGAGGGUUAGUUACACCCCUGAUGAAAGCUCCUGUGAGGAGCUGAAACGUCGAUUUAUUCUUCGCAAUAAAUGAAGAUUUGUUUGUGGUGAAACCCUUGAGUGCCGGUAUAACUUUAUUAUAUAUAUAUACAUAUAUAUACAAACAAACACACAAUACAUAUACACAUAUACACCCUCUGUCAACAGACACAAAGCCAGACAUACGCACACACACAAAAGUGACAUACAGACAGAGUCAAACACUUAAAAAUACAGAGCACCAACCUCUUCCCCUCUCCACAGUAAUAGCCAUAAAUAUCCCCUACCCUUAAAAAUCACCACUCACUUUACCUCGCAUGCCAUGUAUUCCAGCUUGUGCAGCAGAGCAGUGUGAGAGUCGAGACCAGGGGUGAGGGCAGUGAUAUAACAUGUCAUAUCCCUGACUCCUCGCACAUGAUCCUCGGUUGCUAGUUAGCUCUAUGGUAACAAUGGAAGGAAGUGAUAUCUAUAUCACAUCCUACAGUGCUGCUGUCUGUGAGGGAGGAGAAGAAGGUGUAAGCCAAAAACUAUUUAUGGAUAUAAUUUGGAGGUGGAAGGGCUGCAAGGUGGGAGGGGACAUAUAAGACUGCCUGCAAGGGGAGAAUCACAUUACAUCUGCCAUCUGCACUCAUUGCAUAGAAUUGAUAUUAGGUAGCCCGACGUGUGCUAGGGCCUAGGGGUGUAACUAGCCCUCGGCACACGUGUGCUAGUGUUUCUCGUUGUGCAGUGUUUCAAGCUAAAAUUGUCUUCCAGACUCCUAACUACAUCCAGAAACACUGUACAUCCAGAUUACUACCACCAUGACCACUUCAAAAGCAGAAGUGGUCAUGGUGGUUAGGUAAACUUUUAAGGAUUAUCAGAUUGAACAAUGUCUAUGUAUGAGGAGGGUCACUAUUUUUGCAUUAAAAAAUAUAUUAAAAAGAAAAAAAAAUUCACAGAACCAAUUCCUUGGUAAAUUAUGUGUGUUUAUGCUAUAGAUUUAAAAUAUCCCUACUUACUGUUGAGUAACACAAUACAGUUACAUUAGAUUAUAUACUUUCUGUGAUGCAAAAAUGACAAUUGUAUACAUACACUCAGGUAAGUUAACUAACCUAUUCAAGCAGGUUAAGUAAAAUAUAUAUAAAUGUAAUAAUUUAUGUAACAG